AGUUAUUGUUAGCUAGGAGGAAGACAUGGAGGGUUCAACGCUGACACAGAGGAGGGCUGAGUGUCAGUUGAAGGAAAGGGAUAUCCAGACAGAAUACAUGAUGGAGCUGGGAGCCAGGUUGGCUCUGGUGAGACAGAUCCAGAGGGAGCAGGAGAAGGAGAUGAAGAGGAUUUGGUUUGAGACGAGGAAAAUGCCAAGCCUGAUUGAGGAGAAUGUGAGAGAUGUGACCAACCGUCCACUCACUGAGUUCAUGGCUCCCUGUAUUGACUCCCUCCCACCGCUGGCUUUCACCAAUCGGAGGCCUAUACCAACCAUGUUACAUCCCCCCUCUCCAUUGGCCAUACGCGCUCAGGAUGCACAGCGGUUCAUUGUAUUUUCAUACUUUGUCCCUGCUGAGUGCCCAGUUGCCACAGAGGCCACAGCAGAUGUAUCUACUGGUAAAAGAGAGGACUUAUUGACAGAUACACAUCUUUCCUCAAUGCUGCAUCGAUACCUGCCACACUUCUUUAACGAUGACUCCAUUCCACCACAGCAGACAGUAGAGGGAACCACUGAGCUCUCAGUUGCUCCAGUGGCAAUAUCUAAUAUAAAGGAAGAGAACAGAUUCUAUCCUUUCUCACUCCCACCACUGGCUCAGCGGUUCGUUGGCAAUUCAUUUAUUGUCCCAGAAACCUCCCAGCCUGCUGUUUCAGCCACAGAGUGCCGAGUUGCCAAAGAGGCCACUGCAGACACAGCCACUGUCAAGAGAGAGAACCGAUGGGCAGCCAGAAGUCUUCCUUCAGUGCUGCCUCCAUGCCUGCCACCAGUCUUUGACGAUGACUUCAUGCCUCCAGAGCAGACAGUAGAGGAUGCCUAUGAGGUCUCAGGUGCUACAGAGAACACUUCAGGCACAGCUACUGUUGAUGGAGUGGACAGAUCAACAGCUAAAUGCCCUGUCCCAAUGCUGCCUCCAAGUUUGCCACCUGUCUUUGACAAUGACUACAAACUGCCAGAGGAGGCAGUAGAGGGAACCAACAAGUGUCCAGUCGCCAGUGAAUCUGCCGCUUCCGUGUCCGCUGUCCACCAAGAGGAGUUUUCAGCUGAUAAGAGUCUUCCUGCACCCGCAGCACUGCCUCUAAGGCUGCCCUGCACCCACAGCAUUGACCACAAACAGCUGUGGGAGAAAGUUGAGGACAACACAGAGUUCUCAGUAGACAAAGAAGCAACUGUUGCCAUUUACACUUGGGAAGAUAAAAGUCCUUCAGUUCUGCCAUGCAUCCACAACAACAACGACCACCAUCUGCCAGAGGAGACAGUUGAGGACAACACAGAGUGCUCAGUUGACACCGAGGCAAGUGCAGUUGCAUCCACUGUCAAGAGAGAGGAACUGACAGGUGAUAAAAGCCCUGUCCGAACAAUUCCUCCAAUCCUGGGAUGCAUCCAUGACAAGGACCACAAGGAGUCAGAGCAGAAAGUGAAGGGCCCUAGUGAAGAGGUGGAUCUCUGCCCUCACGCUCACCAGCUGGACCCAGAUGUUAACUUAACUCUGGCAACCCGCAAUGAUGAACCCAGGACCUGGACCCUGGAAGAGGCAAAGGUAGGUGUCCUAUUUUACACUACUACUUUACAGGUAUGGGGGUCAGUUCCAUUUCAAUUCAAAGCAUUGAAGAGAAUUGGAAUUUUAGAGUUCUUCUUGAAUUGA
This 1681-nucleotide long non-coding RNA is filed under the name Oncorhynchus mykiss (rainbow trout). RNAcentral's name for it is "lncRNA (ENSOMYG00000073496.1)". Lineage: Eukaryota; Metazoa; Chordata; Actinopteri; Salmoniformes; Salmonidae. The record is from RNAcentral.